This 466-nucleotide ribosomal RNA is filed under the name uncultured bacterium. Its description in RNAcentral is "partial 16S ribosomal RNA". It matches the Rfam family "Bacterial small subunit ribosomal RNA", at positions 28 to 507 of the family's 1533-position model. The record is from RNAcentral.
GACGAACGCUGGCGGCGUGCUUAACACAUGCAAGUCGUGCGGUAAGGCCCUUUCGGGGGUACACGAGCGGCGAACGGGUGAGUAACACGUGUGCAACCUGCCCUGCACUUGGGGGUAACUGCCGGAAACGGUGGCUAAUACCGGCUAUGACUUCCUCACGCAUGUGGGGUGGUGGUAAGACUUCGGGUGGUGGGGGAUGGGCUCGCGGGCUAUGAGCGUGUUGGGGGGGUGAUGGCCUACGAAGGCUGCGACGGGUAGCCGGCCCGAGAGGGUGGACGGGCACAAGGGGACUGAGAGACGGCGCAGUCUGGUAUGGUAGGCAGCAGGCGGGAAUAUUGUCCAAUGGUCGAAAGCCUGUUACAGAAACGCUGCGUGUGGGAUGCCGGCCUUCGGGUUGUAAACCUCUUUAGCCUGCGACGAAGCGAGAGUGACGUUAGCAGGUAAAGAAGCACCGGCUAACUACGUG